UACGGGGGGGGCAAGCGUUGUUCGGAAUUACUGGGCGUAAAGGGCUCGUAGGCGGCCAACUAAGUCAUACGUGAAAUCCCUCGGCUUAACCGGGGAACUGCGUCUGAUACUGGAUGGCUUGAGUUCGGGAGAGGGAUGCGGAAUUCCAGGUGUAGCGGUGAAAUGCGUAGAUAUCUGGAGGAACACCGGUGGCGAAGGCGGCAUCCUGGACCGAUACUGACGCUGAGGAGCGGAAGCCAGGGGAGCGAAUGGG
Molecule: ribosomal RNA, 253 nt
Filed under: uncultured bacterium
Lineage: Bacteria
Description: partial 16S ribosomal RNA
Rfam family: Bacterial small subunit ribosomal RNA
Source: RNAcentral